This is a non-coding RNA of Odocoileus virginianus texanus, 1187 nucleotides long. NCBI's taxonomy places the organism in Eukaryota, Metazoa, Chordata, Mammalia, Artiodactyla, Cervidae. The record is from RefSeq and is a predicted model, not a curated record.
AAGAUUCCACAAGCCACAAAGCAACUAAACCAGUAUGCCACAACCACUGAGCCCAAACACUAGAGUCCGUGCUCCUCAACAAGGGAAGCCCUCGCUCGCUCCAAGUAAAGAAAGCCCAAGUGCAGUAAUAAAGACCCAGUGAAGUCAUGAAUAAAUUAAUAGCAUGCAUACCCGUAUUUGUAUAGAGUUAAAGGGAUGAAAGAAGUUAUCCUAAAAUGCAAUCUCUUGCAGUGAUGGAAUUAUGGGUGAUCUUUAUUUUCCAGUAUUUUUCUUUUCAGCAUUUUUGGCAAUGAGUGUGUAUUAUUUUUAAGAGUCAGAAAGAAAUGAUAAGCUCUUUUAAAGCUGCAGGAAUCGAAAUAAGAUACAUAUUUUCUGCCUAUACCUUUGAAAAGUUUUAUUUUAAUUACUUAUAUUUCUUCUCAUUCAAUAUUAAGAAAUUAAAUUUCUGUUUCCCUAGGUCCUCUGGAACAAUCCAUCUGGUUCCACCUAUUAUCUGCUUCCCUGGACCUUUAGGCUUGUCUUGGCCCAUCUGAAGACCAGGCAGUUGAUAAAUCCUGAGGCUCGCUGCUCAGACUGGCUCGGGUGGGACACAGUCACCAGGGAUGGUAGAACGUAAGAAUGGGGCAAGUGUCCGGACUGCUCUCCUGGACACUGAGCAGAGUCCUGUGGCUCUCAGGCCUCUCUGAGUGCGGAGCUGCCUGGCAACCCUGCAUCAUGGAAGAGAAAGAGCUAGAAGUUUAUGACUAGAUUCAAACUCUCCGGGACCCAGAGAAGCCCAGUACUUUAGAAGAACUGAAAGUGGUAACAGAAAGUUGUGUGGAGGUUCAAGAGAUAAAUAAAGAUGACUAUUGGUUAUUAUAAGGUUCACACCAACAGUACCUCAUGGCUCUUCAGCAACUCUUAUUGGCCUGUGCUUAAGAGUAAAACUUCAACAGUGUUUACCAUUUAAUAUGUUGGAAAUCUAAAUUUCUGAAGGAACCCACUCAACAGAGGAAGAUAUGAACAAGCAGAUAAAUGACAAAGAGCUAGUGGCGGCUGCAAUGGAGAAACCCAACUUAUGGGAAAUCAUGGAACAGUGUGUCCUUGCACCUAAGAGCUGUUUUAAGAGCCACUAACAAUAAUCAUUUGAUACAUUUGUUUAAACUCUUUGUAAAAUGUAGAAGAUUCAUGUUUAAUACAUAGGUGAU